GGUUUCCUAGUGCUUACCACAGGCUGCAUACUGUCUGCAUAGAAAGAGGAGAAAAAGGAAACCUAUCCCAUAUACACUUCAACCCAGGCCCUGUGCCUGGUAUGUAUUGUGAUUAGGGAACCAUGG
RNAcentral lists this small nucleolar RNA (126 nucleotides) under Castor canadensis (American beaver). RNAcentral describes it as "Small nucleolar RNA SNORA51 (ENSCCNG00000002571.1)". It matches the Rfam family "Small nucleolar RNA SNORA51". From Rfam's summary of the family: ACA51 is a member of the H/ACA class of snoRNA that guide the sites of modification of uridines to pseudouridines. The record is from Rfam by way of RNAcentral. Lineage: Eukaryota; Metazoa; Chordata; Mammalia; Rodentia; Castoridae.